This is a long non-coding RNA of Fundulus heteroclitus (mummichog), 522 nucleotides long. RefSeq lists it as uncharacterized. The transcript has 3 exons. The record is from RefSeq and is a predicted model, not a curated record. Lineage: Eukaryota; Metazoa; Chordata; Actinopteri; Cyprinodontiformes; Fundulidae.
CAAAAUACCGACAGAAGACUACACGAUGCCAGAAAAGUGGCCGGGCUACGAAGUUCCAUUAAAAUCUCCGUGGAGACGUCAAGAGGGCAGCAGACAGAUGACUGCCGCUGUGAUGCAGAGGCUGACCGGACCGCUCCAUAAUCAGAGUCACCUAUGCAGAAAGAUGCUAAUACUACAGGCACCGAAGGAUCACACCUAGGAGAAGAGAAGAACAGUGCAUGUGUACUCCUCUGGCAUACCAGAGGAGUGUCUCUGACACACGGAAGAACACAUAAUGUAUUUGCCGGCCACUCAUAUUUCAGAUAUAUUACCUGUCCAGGUGUACCCUGCCUCUCGCCAUUGACUGCUGGAGAUAGGCACCAGCACCCCUCGCCAUCCCAACAAGGAUAAGGGUGUAGGAAAAUGGAUGGUAAUAAAUUAGUACAAAAAGUCAUUCAAGUUUGGGUAAUGUUCUGUCAAAACACCACCUCUUCCUGUCUGUGGAUGUGAGCACACCAUUCUAUAACAGUCUAAUCUUGAAUG